GCUCGGACUAGGCCGGGGGGGUAGCGGUCCCCUGUAACCGGCAAACCGCUAAGCCGGGGCCGAAAGCUUGGGGGCGGCCUCGCCCCCAAGCACCUUGCCCGUAUGUGCGAACAAUGAUGUCUCGUCCUCCGGGGCUGGGGGUGCCCGGUUUGCGGGUGUAGGCCCGCAAAUACGGGCUUUGCCGCGGGAAAUGGGC
RNAcentral lists this signal recognition particle RNA (196 nucleotides) under Thermoprotei archaeon. RNAcentral's name for it is "partial signal recognition particle sRNA". It matches the Rfam family "Archaeal signal recognition particle RNA", at positions 1 to 199 of the family's 317-position model. Lineage: Archaea; Thermoproteati; Thermoproteota; Thermoprotei. The record is from RNAcentral.